AGGAGGAACAACUGCAGUGGCGGGGCCAGCUCUGCAGCCCUGGAGUCAGCCCCCGAAGUAGCUCCGGAGCUCCCCGUCUGCAGGGCCUGGAGGCUCCGGGGCGGG
Molecule: non-coding RNA, 105 nt
Organism: Canis lupus familiaris (dog)
Lineage: Eukaryota; Metazoa; Chordata; Mammalia; Carnivora; Canidae
Source: Rfam